Molecule: long non-coding RNA, 843 nt
Filed under: Lactuca sativa (garden lettuce)
Lineage: Eukaryota; Viridiplantae; Streptophyta; Magnoliopsida; Asterales; Asteraceae
Description: long non-coding RNA (LSAT_LNC009807)
Source: RNAcentral
UGCUGGUAGGCACGAAAGAUUUUAAAUGGACUUGACUAGGAAAGUUGAACCUAAUGAAUUUAAAGGACUUGACGAACUUUGACCUAGUUAGAUCCGUUUAACCUGAUGUCACGACGCUCGGAUAGGUUGAGCAGGGAGAUAUACAUGAGAAUCUACUCGUCACAUUAAUUGAACCCGUACUUGGAACCGUGGCUUAACUUUUCCUCGAUGUGCGGAUUCUGUCCUUAAUUCCGGUUGGAUGGGGCGACUGGUAAAUUCCGAUAAAUUAGGUCUGUAGAAUAUCAUUUUCUUUCUUUCCGUCUGUUAGCCAUAUGUUGUCUCCUUUGCGUGACUUCUAAUCCGACCUGGUACACAACAUAUGCAACUCUAUUUCUCUGCAGGNCGCGACUUCUAAUCCGACCUGGUACAUAGCAUAUGCAACCUUCUUCUUCUCAACCCCUCUAAAGUAGUUAGCAAUAGAAUUCUGAAUCUCUUCUCUCUCUGAAUGGUUGUCUGCUCACCCGAUGUAAGGAGUACUCUGGAAGUUCUUGAUGGCUGGGGUAUAUCAUGAAGCGGGAAACACGUUCCAGUACACUUAAAAUUGAACUCAUACAGAUUGUCUGUAGAUCUCGCUGCUCGAUUUAGGUGGACAACAAUAUCCCUAGUUGUAGUCAGUUAAAUGGUCAUAAGGUGAAUUUAUUUAAGAUUUAGGAGGUAUCAUAAUUACAGAAAUUUACAAUUAGAUAUAUGUCUGAAUCAUGUCAUUGGUAAAAUGUCCAAAAACGUCACAAAUCUUUCGUGUUUAAGUGGACCACAAUACUGGCAAUCGGUCAGACGAAGAUGUGAAGAUAAGGGUACUGACAA